GGAUGUGACGGAGAUCUGGUUACCACAUCUGUCACCCCACUGAUCGCCAGGGUUGAUGUGGCUGAUCUGGCUGGCUAGGCACGUGUCCCCUUCUUCCCUCAACACUUGUGUGUCCCUCCUACUCGGUCAAAGAGGACAACCUUCCCCAAAUAGAGACGGAUUGGUCUUUGGUCAAGGGUAUCCAAGUAGCUGCACUCCCCUGCUAGAACCUCCAAACAAGCUCUCAUAAAUACAUUUAAAGUGAAAAUUAAAAGCUAUAUAUCUAAUAAAUGACUGCUUGCUUCAAUU
Molecule: unclassified non-coding RNA, 288 nt
Organism: Erinaceus europaeus (western European hedgehog)
Lineage: Eukaryota; Metazoa; Chordata; Mammalia; Eulipotyphla; Erinaceidae
Gene: 7SK
Rfam family: 7SK RNA
About the family: 7SK was discovered as an abundant small nuclear RNA in the mid-70s but a possible function has only recently been suggested. Two independent studies have found that 7SK RNA binds the CDK9/cyclin T complex (known as elongation factor P-TEFb). P-TEFb activates transcription by phosphorylating the C-terminal domain of RNA polymerase II.
Source: Ensembl